Molecule: ribosomal RNA, 253 nt
Filed under: uncultured bacterium
Lineage: Bacteria
Description: partial 16S ribosomal RNA
Rfam family: Bacterial small subunit ribosomal RNA
Source: RNAcentral
UACGGAGGGAGCUAGCGUUGUUCGGAAUUACUGGGCGUAAGGCGCACGUAGGCGGCUAUUCAAGUCAGAGGUGAAAGCCCGGGGCUCAACCCCGGAACUGCCUUUGAAACUAGGUAGCUAGAAUCUUGGAGAGGUCAGUGGAAUUCCGAGUGUAGAGGUGAAAUUCGUAGAUAUUCGGAAGAACACCAGUGGCGAAGGCGACUUACUGGACACAUAUUGACGCUGAGGUGCGAAAGCGUGGGGAGCAAACAGG